AUGAAGGGCUGGAAGCCGAAGUUACUGCCAGCUGCGGGUAGACUUACACUGGUUAAUUCGGUGCUAAUGGCUCUCCCGAUCCAUUUCAUGACAGUUCUGCCUCUCCCAGUCUGGGCCAUCAAAAUAAUCAAUAGGAGAUGCCGUGGUUUCAUUUGGAAGGGAGAGGAGGCUAUAAGUGGAGGACACUGCUUGCUGCCGUGGGCUCAGGUGUGU
This 213-nucleotide ribosomal RNA is filed under the name Triticum aestivum (bread wheat). RNAcentral describes it as "partial small subunit ribosomal RNA". The record is from RNAcentral. Lineage: Eukaryota; Viridiplantae; Streptophyta; Magnoliopsida; Poales; Poaceae.